AUUGAACGCUAGCGGCAUGCCUAGCACAUGCAAGUCGAACGGCAGCACGAGGAGCUUGCUCCUUGGUGGCGAGUGGCGGACGGGUGAGUAACGCGUAGGAAUCUGCCUCGUAGUGGGGGACAACCCGGGGAAACUCGGGCUAAUACCGCAUAAUCUCUUCGGAGCAAAGUUGGGGACCUUCGGGCCUAACACUAUGAGAUGAGCCUGCGUUGGAUUAGCUAGUUGGUGGGGUAAAGGCCUACCAAGGCGUCGAUCCAUAGCUGGUCUGAGAGGACGACCAGCCACACUGGGACUGAGACAAGGCCCAGACUCCUACGGGAGGCAGCAGUGGGGAAUAUUGGACAAUGGGCGAAAGCCUGAUCCAGCAAUGCCGCGUGUGUGAAGAAGGCCUUCGGGUUGUAAAGCACUUUUAGUGGGGAAGAAAAAGACAAGGAUAAUACCCUUGGAAAUUGACGUUACCCACAGAAAAAGCACUGGCUAACUCUGUGCCAGCCGCCGCGGUAA
This 504-nucleotide ribosomal RNA is filed under the name uncultured bacterium. Its description in RNAcentral is "partial 16S ribosomal RNA". It matches the Rfam family "Bacterial small subunit ribosomal RNA", at positions 30 to 523 of the family's 1533-position model. The record is from RNAcentral.